CCUCUACGUUAAAGAUUAGAGAUGUGAAUGUGUCUGACUCUGGGCUUUACUACUGUGGGACGCAGCCAGGGGACCACAUGAUCUAUCACAACGCAACAUACUUAACCAUCACAGCUUCUGUAGAUGAGGUUGAGCCCGAGCCCAAGCCCUCAGAGACAGUAGAGGACGGGCAGUUCUGCAGUGGGGUGAGUGUAGCUGCAUGAGUGUGUUUUGUGUUCCUGCAGGGCAGUUCUGCAGUGGGGUGAGUGUAGCUACAUGAGUGUGUUUUGUGUUCCUGCAAGGCAGUUCUGCGGUGGGGUGUGUGUAGCUGCAUGAGUGUGUUUUGUGUUCCUGCAGGGCAGUUCUGCAGUGGGGCGUGUGAAGCUGUCAUUCUGGUUCUUAGGGUUCUCAGUGCUGUUCUCGGUCUGGCGUUUUUCAUCGUGAUCCUGAUCAAAUGCAGAGCUGCACUCAGAACACAGAACACAGACCCUGGUAAUCUUACAGCGUCUCCACCUGAGCAGGACUCAUGCGUGUAGCACGCAGCUCUAAGCUUCAACGAGAGGGAGAAGAGAAGAAGGACCCUCCACAGAGAAAGCACAUAUACGUGUGUCUUAUAUUUUGCUAUAACACCAAAGCUAUACAAAAAGUUGCAUUGAUGCUGUUGUAUUUCACUGCUAUACACUGUUCAGAAUUACUGUGUUCUGGUUCAGUCCAAUUUGUAUUA
Molecule: long non-coding RNA, 703 nt
Organism: Clupea harengus (Atlantic herring)
Lineage: Eukaryota; Metazoa; Chordata; Actinopteri; Clupeiformes; Clupeidae
Exons: 5
Source: RefSeq, a predicted model, not a curated record